AAUGUGAUUGCUGGGUCAUUUAGUGGUUUCAUUCUAGUUUUUGAGAAUUAUCCAUCCUGCUUUCCAAAGUGGUUGCACUUAUUUGCAAACCCACAAACAAU
Molecule: microRNA precursor, 101 nt
Filed under: Marmota monax (woodchuck)
Lineage: Eukaryota; Metazoa; Chordata; Mammalia; Rodentia; Sciuridae
Source: RNAcentral